RNAcentral lists this long non-coding RNA (1260 nucleotides) under Homo sapiens (human). RNAcentral's name for it is "CDKN2B and CDKN2A antisense cis and trans regulatory RNA 1". The stretch from base 379 to 522 matches the Rfam family "CDKN2B antisense RNA 1 convserved region 3". The record is from RNAcentral. Lineage: Eukaryota; Metazoa; Chordata; Mammalia; Primates; Hominidae.
AGCUACAUCCGUCACCUGACACGGCCCUACCAGGAACAGCCGCGCUCCCGCGGAUUCUGGUGCUGCUCGCGUCCCCGCUCCCCUAUUCCCCUUAUUUUAUUCCUGGCUCCCCUCGUCGAAAGUCUUCCAUUCUUCAAACUAGAUUAUUUAAAAAUGAAAAAGGAAGAAAGGAAAGCGAGGUCAUCUCAUUGCUCUAUCCGCCAAUCAGGAGGCUGAAUGUCAGUUUUGAACUAAAAGCCGCUCCGCUCCUCUUCUAGAUUUGGAAAACAAGCGAAAUUAAACUAAACCGCUGCACGCCUCUGACGCGACAUCUGGACACGGCGCGGCGCUGGCGCUGCCGGAGCUGUCGACCCGGCCUGGCGCCGGACUAGUGUCCCUUUUGAUGAGAAGAAUAAGCCUCAUUCUGAUUCAACAGCAGAGAUCAAAGAAAAGACUUCUGUUUUCUGGCCACCAGAUAUAUGUUAUCUGUGCUUAAAGAAUUGAAAAACACACAUCAAAGGAGAAUUUUCUUGGAAAGAGAGGGUUCAAGCAUCACUGUUAGGUGUGCUGGAAUCCUUUCCCGAGUCAGUACUGCUUUCUAGAAGAAAACCGGGGAGAUCUAUUUGGAAUGUAUCUAACUCCAAAGAAACCAUCAGAGGUAACAGUAGAGACGGGGUUUCACCAUGUUGGCCAGACUGGUCUUGAACUCUCGACCUCGUGAUUCGCCCGCCUCGGCCUCCCAAAGUGCUGGGAUUACAGGUGUGAGACACCACACCCGGCGGAUAGAGAGAAUUUUGACAGAUAUGACACAUUCAUAAUUUAAACAGAAGCCUACGAAGAACUCAUAAAUUAAAAGAAGAUAAUCUUUUCACAAGGUGAUGGAGGCUUUUUAUUUUGCCACAAAACCACUGGUGACGUUGCCUGUGGCCACCUUGGAGAAGACACUGGAGACAGGGUCUCACUCUGUCACCCAGGCUGGAGUGUAUUGGCAUGAUUACAGCUCACUGCAACCUUGAACUCCCAGGCUCAAACCUGAGCAGCUGGGACUACAGAUGCACCACCAUGCAUGGAUGAUUACGGAGCUAGGAAUUUCCUACGAAGCUGGGUGAUAAAAGGACAUUGGACAAAAACACAGAUAGCUUCAUUCUAUACCAGGAUCCAUCACUGAUUAGCUGUAUUAUAUUUGUCUCUACUGUAAUUUGAGGAGAAUGAUACCUGCUUCUCUAUCUUGUUGGGUUUUACAGAUGAUGUAUUGAAAGUUCAAUAAAAUCUAUAAACAAU